UACACUCCUGCGGGAGGCAGCAGUGGGGAAUUUUGGACAAUGGGCGAAAGCCUGAUCCAGCAAUGCCGCGUGAGUGAAGAAGGCCUUCGGGUUGUAAAGCUCUUUUGUCAGGGAAGAAACGGUGAGAGCUAAUAUCUUUUGCUAAUGACGGUACCUGAAGAAUAAGCACCGGCUAACUACGUGCCAGCAGCCGCGGUAAUACGUAGGGUGCAAGCGUUAAUCGGAAUUACUGGGCGUAAAGCGUGCGCAGGCGGUUUUGUAAGUCUGAUGUGAAAUCCCCGGGCUCAACCUGGGAAUUGCAUUGGAGACUGCAAGGCUAGAAUCUGGCAGAGGGGGGUAGAAUUCCACGUGUAGCAGUGAAAUGCGUAGAUAUGUGGAGGAACACCGAUGGCGAAGGCAGCCCCCUGGGUCAAGAUUGACGCUCAUGCACGAAAGCGUGGGGAGCAAACAGGAUUAGAAACCCGGGUAGUCCCAUGA
RNAcentral lists this ribosomal RNA (477 nucleotides) under uncultured organism. Its description in RNAcentral is "partial 16S ribosomal RNA". It matches the Rfam family "Bacterial small subunit ribosomal RNA", at positions 332 to 800 of the family's 1533-position model. The record is from RNAcentral.